AGUGAACGCUGGCGGCAGGCCUAACACAUGCAAGUCGGACGGCAGCACAGUAAGAUCUUGCUCUUACGGGUGGCGAGUGGCGGACGGGUGAGGAAUACAUCGGAAUCUACUUUUUCGUGGGUGAUAACGUAGGGAAACUUACGCUAAUACCGCAUACGGCCUACGGGUGAAAGCAGGAGAUCUUCGGACCUUGCGCGAUUGAAUGAGCCGAUGUCGGAUUAGCUAGUUGGCGGGGUAAAGGCCCACCAAGGCGACGAUCCGUAGCGGGUCUGAGAGGAUGAUCAGCCACACUGGAACUGAGACACGGUCCAGACUCCUACGGGAGGCAGCAGUGGGGAAUAUUGGACAAUGGGCGCAAGCCUGAUCCAGCCAUACCGCGUGGGUGAAGAAGGCCUUCGGGUUGUAAAGCCCUUUUGUUGGGAAAGAAAAGCAGCAGGUUAAUACCCCGCUGUUCUGACGGUACCCAAAGAAUAAGCACCGGCUAACUCCGUG
This 492-nucleotide ribosomal RNA is filed under the name uncultured bacterium. RNAcentral describes it as "partial 16S ribosomal RNA". It matches the Rfam family "Bacterial small subunit ribosomal RNA", at positions 29 to 507 of the family's 1533-position model. The record is from RNAcentral.